UUUACGUGUCGGCGUCUAGCAGGCUUGGGCGGGUUGCGGUUCGAUCGUCGGUCGACUUCUUUCCCUAGGGAGGCGUCUACGGAACGGUCGGCGUGACUCGUCUUGCGAUGGGACGACGUGUGAGUGGCGAUUGGGAUGUGUUUCCCGUGCAGGCUCCGUGCAUGUCGCAUCGAACUGCCUGGGUCUAUCCGUUUCAUUUGUGGGCUCGCGUCGGCGCCUUCGGGACCGGUCGCGACCGCUCGUUGGGUUCCUGUGCUUGAUAUCGAAUACGGCAGUUGGUUGGAUUGUUGUUCCCCUUAACGGUUUAUUGAUUCUCCCACGCCUACGCGGCGGAGACGGUGGAUAUCGUGCGGGCAUCGACGUUUUCCUCUGGAGCGGUUGUUUCCCCCUUCGGGACGAUCUGCUUGCGAUGGCGCGUAGAUGUUUCCGGCACACUCUUGGGUACGGAGAUUUUCUGGUCCUCGCGUAGGUCUUCGACCUCCGCGGACGUGACGCAUCGGAGCGUCCUCGCUCCUUCCGCAUGUACGACCCUCGUGCUCGCCCGAGAGCUCACCGGGCCACUCGUCGGUGUUCUUCUCGGGGAGCCGACGAUCUACAGAGGAAUGCUACCUGGUUGAUCCUGCA
Molecule: unclassified non-coding RNA, 624 nt
Filed under: Triolena spicata
Lineage: Eukaryota; Viridiplantae; Streptophyta; Magnoliopsida; Myrtales; Melastomataceae
Description: partial external transcribed spacer
Source: RNAcentral